Homalodisca vitripennis (glassy-winged sharpshooter) is the source of this 3682-nucleotide long non-coding RNA. RefSeq lists it as uncharacterized. NCBI's taxonomy places the organism in Eukaryota, Metazoa, Arthropoda, Insecta, Hemiptera, Cicadellidae. The record is from RefSeq and is a predicted model, not a curated record. The transcript has 2 exons.
UUGAAUCGGUCCAAAAUCAUUCUUUAGUAUUUUAUCUUUAUGUUUUUUAUAUAUAAUGUUUCAUAAGUGUCUGAUUAUCAUAGUUAGUUCAUUGCUGGCUUAAGGGAAAUAUUGAGAUUUGUUCUUAACAAAUAAAGUUACUGCAUUGCUUAUAUAUGGCUCUAUGUAAAGGUGACUGAUUCAUUUUAAGAAUACAAAAAGACAAGAUCAAAUAUUACUUUGAAAAUAUGUCGACAAAGAGUAAAAAGUACAAUUAUUGUAUGGACAAAUGAGAUAUCCACAUAUUAUAACAUUACUUAGGAACUGGAAGUGGUUUUCACUGGUGAACGUUCUGACAUUUUCAUAUAUAUAACAUUAAUUCUAAACAUGUUCCCGCUUGUGUUGGCAGGACUGUACGUGUUCAGCUGCAGCCGCUGCAGUAAACGCUACAAGUACAAACGUAACUUGCACCAACACGUCAAGAACGAGUGCGGGAAGGAGGCUCAGUUCUUCUGUUCCUACUGCGACUUCAAGGCCAAACUGAGCUUCAACUUGUACAGGCACCUCCGUAACGUCCAUCACCUGCAAGUCAUAUGUGGCAAAAACGCAAACAACCCUUCCGUUUGAUGUGUUUUCAGUUAUUUGCCAUUCAUAGAUUCAACCCUUCCAGCCAUAGCUCAGGUUGGAGGUGGACGUGGUGGCUGUUCUACACGGGGACCUCAGUACUGCGGGGAGGUAUAGCUCAGUGAUCUGCCAACUAGAGAAAUACAUGUUACAAAAACAUGUUAUUGCAGUGUGAAUACUGCAAAAUGUUCUCGUCGAUUCCUAUUAAAUGCCACUAGGACAAGAACUGCCUACCGGCUCAAAUGUGCUAUCCCCCGCUUUCCAGUAAAUUCUUCUGUUGUUAGCCUCUGAUAAGUUCUGCUUAUGUUUUCUCUUGUAUAAGUGUUUUCUGUCGACAGGUAAAUAAAAACUUACAGUAGUGUUGUACUACUACUGAUCUGUGUACUGAAGAAAAUAACUCUAUUGUACGUUUUCAGUUUGAACAUUAACGCUUUGUUACAUAUACCAGCAUUUUUGUAUUUCUUGCUGCUGGUAUGUAGAUGUUAUACUCUUUCCGUGCAAUUUAAUAUUAUGUGAUCUACACAUUAUGUUUAAAAAAAAAAUCAAACAUUUGUGAAGAUAUUUAGUUGUAUACCCUUUUUACAUUCUUUUAUCCAUGAAUUAUGAAUGUAAAAAUACAGUAUCGUGUACUGACUUGUAUUGAAGUAUUAUCUGAGAUUUCACUUUAAUAGCGGUAGUGUAGAGUGUAGAGCGUUCUCCAACAUUGCAGACUAACUCCAACUGAAAGGUUUGUAGAACUGUAGCUGAUUUCACUCGUAGUAGGUUACACAUGGUAGCACUGUAUCCACUGAGCUUCCGCUUGUUGUGUAGAUGUCUUGUAGCUUGUCGUCGCCUGCCUAGACCGUCCCGAGAGGGAGUAGAGAGAAAAUGUAUGUUCUGGCACCAAGGUCAUUGACCUCAUGUUCUGUUGCGGCAGACGCGGAGAGGACACUGCACCUCGACGUCAGCAUCUUCUUCUGUCAAAAGUGCGGCAAGAAGUAUAAGUGGAAGGGGAACCUGACGUACCAUCUGCGGUACGAGUGCGGUAAAGACCCGCAACAUUUCUGCGCUCUCUGCAGUUACAAGACGAAGCACUCCUCGUCUCUGUCCCGACACAUGAGGAACAUUCACAAGACUGGCGGUGACUACGUGUUCGGCAGAGACUGCAAGUGAUCGCAGUACUUGGCCUGGCUCCAGUCCUACUUGUAGGCAGGGCCAGCUGCAACCUACUUGUAUGCGAAUUACACUUCAAUACGUGGUAUAUGUAAUUCGCUGGACAAUGACUAAAGAAGGGAUUUGAACUACGAGUUAGUGUCAUUAUUUAAACCAGACUGAUUGAGUAUGACUUAAAACAAAAUAAUAACUUACUAAAAUCGUAAUUGAUUUAAAGCCACUUCGCAAGUGGGAAAUGUAUUGUACAUAUAGAGGAUCUUGUUUUAUUCUACAUUAGAAUUGGCAUUUACUUGCAGAGUGGUCUUAUAACAAAAAAUUUAGUUAACUCGUCAUUGUUUGAAACACUGACAAUGAGAUGUUUAGUUGUUUCUCAUAGAAUCCUGAAACCCGAUGUUUUAAACUUAAAUUAUAUAUACACACUCAUUUCUAUUGUGAAUAUAAUUCAAAACGUGUAAGUAAAUAAAAGUAUCCACAGCAAAAUAGUAAUUUUAUGAUGCUUCGAAUCCUCUUGUUGAAAAUGGUAUAAUUAAGUACACACAAUUGUUCUUACCAAUCAAUGGUGCAUACAUUACAUGGUACAAACACUUAAAGGAUUUUGGAUUUAAAUAAACGUCAAGUUUUAGUGUCCUAAGAUAGUUUUUAAAAUAUUUCUCUAAACAACACAUACAAAUUGUAAUUUUAAAUAUAAUUUAAUUCCAAAAAUAAUACUGAUAAUUAUUAUUACGUCUUAACUUUGUAAGUUCCAUAAUUUUGUUCGAUUACUCAAGUUUAAAACAUUAGAAGUAACGUUUUGCUUAACCCUAGUCAAUACUCUUAAGUCUUCAAAUAAUACCAAGUAGCUGAAAUGGAUUUAGAUUAUUAGAAUAGCUUAGUUUAAUUUAUUUUUCUAGUCACACUAUUAUUAUUGCAUUAAUAGUGUUAGUAAAUAUUCUAUAACUAAACUAUUUACUGUAUUGUUACAAUAUUUCAGUUUGUGGUCAAGUUGUACUAAAAUAUUAAAAAAAUAAAGUACCUCCAUAUUGGUCUACAGAUUACCAAUUUUGCCGAGUUACAAAUUCAUAUAAUUUCGUAUGUGGCUAUUUAUUACUCAAUAACAUUAAUUUAGGGCUCAAUAAGUUUUUGUAUUUUAUUGAUAAACAUUUUUAAGUUUUUGUCAAAUUAAAUACUGUGACAAAAUAACCACGGUAAUCCAAAACACGUCUUAAGUACAGGUAUACUUGAUUAACUUUUGGAACAUCUUUUACCUAACCUUCCUUAAUGGAUGGAGAUGGUUGGGAUUUUGAUGUGAAAUAAUUUACAAAUUAAAACUAAUGGGUUUUGUUAGUGUAUAUGAAAAUAUUAUUUUGCCUGAUAAUUCUUUAUGAAUAUAACAGGAGUAUGUGUUACACAUUGAGUUAUUAAUAUACUAUUGUAUAAGUGUAUAAGAGUGUAAACCAUAAAAUAAUAUCAACAAAAUGUAAGAUAGUUUAGUGCAUUAUUAAAGGAGUCACUGAAACGGAGUUGGUGGCCUUAUUUGGUGUAUUGUUAAAACACACACAGUAAAAACUUAUAUUAAUAAGCUUAAGCAUUAAUGUAUUGCAACCCGCAGUUGCUUUGCUAAGAUAAUUAACUAUUGUAGUGUACCGCAACGUUUUAAAAAUUAUUGGUUUUCGUCUUAGUUUCAUUAAUUGCUGUUUAUUUAAAUUGUUACUCUUUGUAUUAGUUGUAGGAAUUGAGUUUUAAUUAAGAAAAAGACCUCCAUACAUGUGAAUUAACCAUUAUUAAUGUUUAAUUUAAGAGAACAAAUAAUUUUAUAGAGUCCAUUGUAAAAAAUAUAUUAAGUAAAAAAUCAGCUGUUCACAUUAUUUUUAGAAUAAUUAUUCACCAUUUAUAUAAUAACUGCAAUUAAAUGGAUGUAUUUUAUUAGAAAUAUACACUUUAUCAAAAA